CCUACGGGAGGCAGCAGUGAGGAAUAUUGCGCAAUGGGGGCAACCCUGACGCAGCGACGCCGCGUGAGUGAGGAAGGCCUUCGGGUCGUAAAGCUCUGUCAAGAGGAAAGAAGUGCAUAAUGGUUAAUACCUGUUAUGUUUGACGGUACCUCUAAAGGAAGCACCGGCUAACUCCGUGCCAGCAGCCGCGGUAAUACGGAGGGUGCAAGCGUUGUUCGGAAUCACUGGGCGUAAAGGGCGCGCAGGCGGUAUGGUAAGUCAGAUGUGAAAGCCCACGGCUUAACCGUGGAAGGGCAUUUGAAACUGCCAGACUUGAGUACCAGAGGGGAAAGUGGAAUUCCCGGUGUAGAGGUGAAAUUCGUAGAUAUCGGGAGGAAUACCGGUGGCGAAGGCGACUUUCUGGCUGAGUACUGACGCUGAGGCGCGAAAGCGUGGGGAG
RNAcentral lists this ribosomal RNA (439 nucleotides) under uncultured Desulfobulbus sp. RNAcentral describes it as "bacterial SSU rRNA". It matches the Rfam family "Bacterial small subunit ribosomal RNA", at positions 338 to 768 of the family's 1533-position model. Lineage: Bacteria; Pseudomonadati; Thermodesulfobacteriota; Desulfobulbia; Desulfobulbales; Desulfobulbaceae. The record is from RNAcentral.